RNAcentral lists this ribosomal RNA (332 nucleotides) under uncultured bacterium. RNAcentral describes it as "bacterial SSU rRNA". It matches the Rfam family "Bacterial small subunit ribosomal RNA", at positions 568 to 898 of the family's 1533-position model. The record is from RNAcentral.
CGUGUAGGCGGGGAUGUAAGUCAGAUGUGAAAUACCCAGGCUUAACUUGGGAACUGCAUCUGAAACUAUAUUUCUUGAGUGUCGGAGAGGAAAGUGGAAUUCCCAGUGUAGCGGUGAAAUGCGUAGAUAUUGGGAGGAACACCAGUGGCGAAGGCGACUUUCUGGACGAUAACUGACGCUGAGGCGCGAAAGCGUGGGGAGCAAACAGGAUUAGAUACCCUGGUAGUCCACGCUGUAAACGAUGGAUACUAGGUGUAGGAGGUAUCGACCCCUUCUGUGCCGGAGUUAACACAAUAAGUAUCCCACCUGGGGAGUACGGCCGCAAGGUUGAA